This 237-nucleotide small RNA is filed under the name Cryptococcus neoformans H99. RNAcentral describes it as "Cryptococcus neoformans var. grubii H99 hypothetical RNA". The record is from RNAcentral. Lineage: Eukaryota; Fungi; Basidiomycota; Tremellomycetes; Tremellales; Cryptococcaceae.
UUUUUUUCUGCCAUCAUAUCCUCAUUCUCACAAUACAAAUCAAACGUAAUGACUGGCAUAUGUUAGACAGGGCUCUAUCCCAUGGUAUGAGAAUUAUAGAUGUUGAUAUGCGAUUCUGCUUCCAUGCCCGUUUUCUAAUGUAGUCCUUACACUUAUUUCUCGGCCAUUUAUACCAUAGUCCAAUCAGUUAUCAUCGUGCAACUGUUGUAACUCCUUCUGGCCCUCACAAAUGAAAGC